CCUACGGGAGGCAGCAGUGGGGAAUAUUGGGCAAUGGGCGCAAGCCUGACCCAGCAACGCCGCGUGAAGGAAGAAGGCUUUCGGGUUGUAAACUUCUUUUCUCAGGGACGAAGAAAGUGACGGUACCUGAGGAAUAAGCCACGGCUAACUACGUGCCAGCAGCCGCGGUAAUACGUAGGUGGCAAGCGUUAUCCGGAUUGAUUGGGUGUAAAGGGCGUGUAGGCGGGAGCGCAAGUCAGAUGUGAAAACUCAGGGCUAAACCCUGAGCCUGCAUUUGAAACUGUGUUUCUUGAGUGCUGGAGAGGCAAUCGGAAUUCGGGGUGUAGCGGUGAAAGGCUUAGAUAUACGGAGGAACACCAGUGGCGAAGGCGGAUUGCUAGACAGUAACUGACGCUGAGGCGCGAAAGCGUGGGGAGCAAACAGGAUUAGAUACCCGGGUAGUC
Molecule: ribosomal RNA, 443 nt
Filed under: uncultured bacterium
Lineage: Bacteria
Description: partial 16S ribosomal RNA
Rfam family: Bacterial small subunit ribosomal RNA
Source: RNAcentral